RNAcentral lists this non-coding RNA (25 nucleotides) under Drosophila melanogaster (fruit fly). The record is from RNAcentral. Lineage: Eukaryota; Metazoa; Arthropoda; Insecta; Diptera; Drosophilidae.
CGGACAUACUAGUUGCAAGUGGCGC